This 253-nucleotide ribosomal RNA is filed under the name uncultured bacterium. RNAcentral describes it as "partial 16S ribosomal RNA". It matches the Rfam family "Bacterial small subunit ribosomal RNA", at positions 524 to 776 of the family's 1533-position model. The record is from RNAcentral.
UACGAAGGGGGCUAGCGUUGUUCGGAUUUACUGGGCGUAAAGCGCACGUAGGUGGAUUGUUAAGUGAGGGGUGAAAUCCCAGGGCUCAACCCUGGAACUGCCUUUCAUACUGGCAAUCUUGAGUUCGGAAGAGGUAAGUGGAAUUCCAAGUGUAGAGGUGAAAUUCGUAGAUAUUUGGAAGAACACCAGUGGCGAAGGCGGCUUACUGGUCCGAUACUGACACUGAGGUGCGAAAGCGUGGGGAGCAAACAGG